GCGAGCCCUUCGGGCAGCCCGAGCUCCGCCCCACGCUCCCACGGGCCUCAGCCUGACGGCUCCUAAGCCUGCCAAUCACGGCCCGCCUUUCUCCGUCCGCCCUGUCCAAUCACAGCCGCCCUUUCAAACCGGAAGCGGUCCCGCCAAUCUCAGCCCGCUCAGUCGCGGCUCGCCGCCUCAGACUGGCCCCGCUCGCCCGUACGUCUGAGGCGCCGCUCCCGCCACCGCCGCUUUGGGAGCCGGCGGAGCAGCGUCCCCGCUGCCGCUGCCUCGGCAGGCGCUGUUGCGGACGGGAAGGGCGGCCGGGAGCUUCCAGUUCAGGUCCUGGUCGGGAUCAGGUUCUGGUCCAGGGAAGCGGGCAGGCGGCGGGGAGCGGGCGGACGCGGCCACAGCAAUGGCGGCGGCGGGAGCAGCGCUUGAGGGGACCGCGGGGAGUCGCGGAUCCGAGCGCGGCGGGAAUUGGCGGGCUGGGAUUGGUGGAGCCGGCAGGCGCUGCUUCGGGUUGUGAUUGGCUGGCUGUCCGCCCGUGGGGCAUAAAUAGCGGGCGUUGGAGAGGCAGCGGCGUCAGUUCGGCGGUGAAGCUGGGAGCGACGGGAGCUGCGGAUGCGCGGUCCGAGGAGCGGCGCUGCGGCAGGACGGGACCCCCGCGGCAGCUGAUCCGGGGAGCGCUGCCCCAAGGUGCAGUGAGAAGCAUGAGCAGCUUUUAGCUGCAGCCAGUAGGAAGCUGAGGAGCUGGAGCUGAGGCAGCAGACCUGGAGGAGACAGAAAUAUGGGUACUCGCAAAAUCUGUCUCCCUUAGAGUCCCACAGGAACGUUCUCAGUGCGAUCUCUAUCAAGUGCUAUGAGUCUUGAUAAAUGGGAGAAGAGCCCAAGAGAAAUUUUUCAUCCCUUGAUAUAAAAGGGAUCGGUGAAUUUUAACUUUGGAGUCCUCUAUGCUAAGGAUGCUCAGCUUACAGAUGAUGAAAUGUUCAGGAAUGUAUUUGCUGCAGCUCUGCUUACCCAAGCUUUGGGUUCCUUCUGUCCCACUGGGAGUUGCCCAAUUUGGUUGCAUAUGGUGAAAUUCACCCUGAGACCUUACAGAACCAGCUCCAACUACGUCAGAGCCAUUUGCAGUUCUCUCCAGACACCUGGAGAAUGGGCGACAUUUCUGAGGAUCCGGCGAGCGUGCUUCUAUCAAAACUCAGUCUGUGAAAUUUCUGGGGAAAACCCUUCUGUGUCCUGAAGGGUUCAAACUCUGGUGAGGAUCCAGUUAUCAGGUGCUCACCUGGAUGGUUCCAGCCCUUAAAGUGAGCACUUGUACUCUUGCCCUGUAGUUUACAUCUAUUGUAUUUUUGUUAUUUUCAAGAUUUUUUGUCUUUGCAAAAUAUUGUGCAUUUCACUCUUUGGAACCUCUCAGAUGGUUCUUUGGUGCAGCACCACCCCAUGGGACACUUGGCUGCUGUCCUGAAGGGGUUGAUCGCUAGAAUUGUAAAUCCUGGAGAGUUUAUAAGUCUUCUGUCCCCAGGGAGGUACCAUGCUUUGUUUACUUUUUGUUCUGUUGGUUAGGCGCUGCUUCUCGUUGCAAGUAUGAAUUUCAAACUGCCCUGUUCUUAUUUUAACUGUUUUCCUGGUUCUCUCCGUCCGACAGGGAAAGACUCUCGUAUCCUUGUCGUCGGGCUCGGUGCUGUCCAAGAAGAUACAGAGACUAAAAAAAUCAUAAGAAGCAAAAUAUGACUGCAGGGAAAAGAAGCUGGAGAGAACAGAAGACUCAUCACGGCGGGACAGCGUGAGGACUGAAAGUGUAAGAAGAUGUGGAGGGAAACAGAGAAUCUGACAGGAGCAGCGAACGCACGAGUGCACGAAUUUUGCUUUUUGCUUGGAUGUAAACUCAGGAGUUGAGAGGAAUUUGGGAGUGAGAAGGGACAUUUUAGAAGGAGAAGAAGAAAAAGAAGUUGUUGUUGUUGUUGUUACAGUCCUGGCAAAAUCUUUUGUUCUAGCUAAUAAAAGAAGUUAGUUUAAAAAACAAAAAGGAAAAAAUGUAGUGUUUUUUUUUUACUUCACUAUUAUAUUCAUUGGUGGUAUGUGGUGUGUUGUUUUAUUUCAUGGUAUUAUUAACUCGGUGUAAAUUGUUUUUUGAGUGAAGCUGACUUUCUGGAUGGGUUGGUUUGUAUUUGAGGCAGGAUUAAUUUCAAUAGGGUUCUUUCAUAGAUUUCUGAUGGGUAUUACUGGGAUUUUGGUUUUGUCUACUGUAUGUAUAAACAUAGAGCUUUGGUAGGGCCAGCUGGGCUGCUGGAGUUUUGGGUGUGAAUUUAUUAGAUGGCUUUUGUUAAAUGCAGUUUUUAAUUUUUGAAAUGUUUUUCAAUGUAGUGGUCUUAAGGUGGUUUUUAAGAAUUCCUUGUAUUGUUUUCUGUUGUGUGUAGCUGGUGUAUGAUAAGGGAUGUGGUGUGACUUCUUGAACGCUAUGGUUUUGGUGUUCCUAAGUUCUGAUUUCUUUCUGGUUCGAUAGUUUUUUUAAUUUUUAUUUUUUGGGACAGGGGCAUUUAUAUGGUGGGUUUUUGUAGGCAAUACGUUUUUUAAUUUGGGUAGUGAUAUUUUUUAGUAUUUUAAUGGUUUAGGUUUUUUAUUUUCGUGGGUUUUAUGUGGAGAGUAUUAUUAAUAAUUGGUUAGCUGAGAAAGGCCAUACUGACAUAAUGCCGCUGGUUAAGCUGAAGGAGAAAAGUCAGCAGUCAGCAAGCUGAAAGGAAAAGUCAGCAGUGACCUUGCUGCAACAUGAGGAUAAGGAGUAGAGAUUAGUCCUGAAUAUAUCUUAAGAAUAUGUAGAAAGUAUCAAAAGUAGAACCAUAGGAAUGUAGAAGUAGGCGUAGAUGCUGAUAUAUAACUGACCAAUCCUGAGCUCAACUUUUGCAAUAUGUAUGAAGCUCAUUAUUAACUGUAUUUAACUUGCCGUACUGAUCAAUAAAAUUGAGCCUGUGAUGAUCAAA
Melospiza melodia melodia is the source of this 2960-nucleotide long non-coding RNA. RefSeq lists it as uncharacterized. The record is from RefSeq and is a predicted model, not a curated record. The transcript has 7 exons. Lineage: Eukaryota; Metazoa; Chordata; Aves; Passeriformes; Passerellidae.